Molecule: ribosomal RNA, 443 nt
Filed under: uncultured bacterium
Lineage: Bacteria
Description: SSU rRNA
Rfam family: Bacterial small subunit ribosomal RNA
Source: RNAcentral
AGAACGAACGCUGGCGGCAGGCCUAACACAUGCAAGUCGAACGCCCCGCAAGGGGAGUGGCAGACGGGUGAGUAACGCGUGGGAACAUACCUUUCGGUUCGGAAUAGCUCAGGGAAACUUGAAUUAAUACCGGAUACGUCCGCAAGGAGAAAGAUUUAUCGCCGAAAGAUUGGCCCGCGUCCGAUUAGCUAGUUGGUGGGGUAAAAGCUUACCAAGGCGACGAUCGGUAGCUGGUCUGAGAGGAUGAUCAGCCACACUGGGACUGAGACACGGCCCAGACUCCUACGGGAGGCAGCAGUGGGGGAUAUUGGACAAUGGGCGCAAGCCUGAUCCAGCCAUGCCGCGUGAGUGAUGAAGGCCCUAGGGUUGUAAAGCUCUUUCGUCAGGGACGAUAAUGACGGUACCUGAAGAAGAAGCCCGGCUAACUUCGUGCCAGCAGCCGC